AAUAAAUAAAUAAAUAAAAAUACGAUAUAAUAAAUAAGUAUACAGGUAGGUGCGCUGCAGUGGCGGCUAUAAUCCGCCCGAAAAGCGUAAUGCCGACCGACGCGCAUAAUGUUCUGUAUUAUUAUUUCGCGUACUUGUGUAAUUAGUGGCGGUCCCGCGCGAGAAUUUCGCACACCUGUCAUUGUGCGCAGAUCGCGUACCAUUUAUUUGUGUUAUUGAAUUAUAAUCGCCGGCGCACCGAAGAAUUCCGAAAAGCACGUGCGCGUGAUAUAAACAAACGUGAAAAACAUAUCCGAACGCCCGCCCGUUUAGAUUCCGAGCGGGCCGACGACCGUAUUAGUUGCCCCCGUCCGGCGCAUAACCCAUACGUGGUUCGUAAUUUUUCUGUUCCGCCUGCAAACGGCUUUUCCACAAGUACCGCUCUGAUAACCAAGCGUGUCGUCACGUCUUUUUCGGAAAGAAAAUUGUGCGCAUACCGGGGAGAUCGUUUUCCGAUUUUCCUCGUGUUUUCGGAAAACCCGAGAAAAACACGGGAAAAGAUGAAUAGUUUAUGACAAUAACGAUCUCUGUAAUUCGUGAUUUUCUGUUAGUUUGUUUUUUUUUUCUUUUUUCUUUUUUUUUUAAUAUAUAACAUAAUUCUAUCAGCCACUUAUGGACAUGGUCAAAUUUUCCAACACAUCCCCGCGAUUUAUAAACUAUUUAUAGUAGGCAUUUGAAAUGUAGAUUGUAAGAUGUUUAGUAAAUUUUAAAUUACAAUAUCUAUGGUUUCUUUUUCACUUU
Molecule: non-coding RNA, 780 nt
Organism: Cinara cedri
Lineage: Eukaryota; Metazoa; Arthropoda; Insecta; Hemiptera; Aphididae
Source: the annotation of a GenBank genome assembly